Small nucleolar RNA from Jaculus jaculus (lesser Egyptian jerboa), 136 nucleotides. The record is from Ensembl. NCBI's taxonomy places the organism in Eukaryota, Metazoa, Chordata, Mammalia, Rodentia, Dipodidae.
CUGCAUGUGGAAAUGCCUUCUCCUCAUUGCUUUUGGAGGAGGAAUACAUCCAUAACAUGCUACACCAAAAAAAGGAGUUCUCAGGGCUGCCAACCUUACAGUAGAGGUUGAGUAGUAGUAUAUUUCUCCUACAUUU